AGAGUUUGAUCAUGGCUCAGAACGAACGCUGGCGGCGUGGAUAAGACAUGCAAGUCGAACGGAAAUCAUCGGGUAGCAAUAUUCGGUGGUUUUAGUGGCGAAAGGGUGCGUAACACGUAGCUACCUACCUCGAAAUGGGGGAUAAUCCCGCGAAGCGAGACUAAUACCGCAUGUGACUGUAAGGUCAAAGUUGGGGAUCGUAAGACCUGACGUUUCGAGAUGGGGCUGCGGCCUAUCAGGUAGUUGGCGGGGUAAUGGCCCACCAAGCCUAGGACGGGUAGCUGGUCUGAGAGGACGACCAGCCACACUGGAACUGAGACACGGUCCAGACACCUACGGGUGGCAGCAGUCGAGGAUUUUUCUCAAUGGGGGAAACCCUGAAGGAGCGACGCCGCGUGGGGGAUGAAGGUCUUCGGAUUGUAAACCCCUGUCAUCUGGGAACAAUGUUGCUCACCUAAUACGUGCGCAAUUGAUAGUACCGGAAGAGGAAGCAGUGGCUAACUCUGUGCCAGCAGCCGCGGUAAUACAGAGACUGCAAGCGUUGUUCGGAUUCAUUGGGCGUAAAGGGUCCGCAGGCGGUCGGUUAAGUCGGAUGUGAAAUCUCACAGCCUAACUGUGAUAGGUCAUUCGAUACUAGCCGGCUAGAGGAGUGGAGAGGAGACUGGAAUUGCUGGUGUAGCAGUGAAAUGCGUAGAUAUCAGCAAGAACACCGGUGGCGAAGGCGAGUCUCUGGACACUUCCUGACCCUCAGGG
This 753-nucleotide ribosomal RNA is filed under the name uncultured bacterium. RNAcentral's name for it is "bacterial SSU rRNA". It matches the Rfam family "Bacterial small subunit ribosomal RNA", at positions 8 to 752 of the family's 1533-position model. The record is from RNAcentral.